CCUACGGGAGGCAGCAGUAGGGAAUCUUUCACAAUGGGCGAAAGCCUGAUGGAGCAACGCCGCGUGCAGGAUGAAGGCCUUCGGGUUGUAAACUGCUUUUAUAAGCGAGAAAUAUGAUGGUAACUUAUGAAUAAGGAUCGGCUAACUAAGUGCCAGCAGCCGCGGUCAUACGUAGGAUCCGAGCAUUAUCCGGAGUGACUGGGUGUAAAGAGUUGCGUAGGUGGCAUAAUAAUUAGCUAGUGAAAUCUGGUGGCUCAACCAUUCAGACGAUUAGCUAAACUGUUAAGCUCGAGACCGUUAGGAGUAACUGGAAUUUCUAGUGUAGGAGUGAAAUCCGUAGAUAUUAGAAGGAACACCAAUAGCGUAGGCAGGUUGCUGGGACGGUUCUGACACUAAGGCACGAAAGCGUAGGGAGCAAACGGGAUUAGAUACCCCUGUAGUC
RNAcentral lists this ribosomal RNA (442 nucleotides) under uncultured bacterium. RNAcentral's name for it is "partial 16S ribosomal RNA". It matches the Rfam family "Bacterial small subunit ribosomal RNA", at positions 338 to 795 of the family's 1533-position model. The record is from RNAcentral.